RNAcentral lists this ribosomal RNA (514 nucleotides) under uncultured bacterium. RNAcentral describes it as "partial 16S ribosomal RNA". It matches the Rfam family "Bacterial small subunit ribosomal RNA", at positions 28 to 523 of the family's 1533-position model. The record is from RNAcentral.
GACGAACGCUGGCGGCAUGCCUAACACAUGCAAGUCGAACGGAGAUUAUUUCGAUAAUCUUAGUGGCGAACGGGUGAGUAACGCGUGGGCAACCUGCCCUCUAGAUGGGGACAACAUCCCGAAAGGGGUGCUAAUACCGAAUGUGACAGCAAUCUCGCAUGAGGAUGCUGUGAAAGAUGGCCUCUAUUUAUAAGCUAUCGCUAGAGGAUGGGCCUGCGUCUGAUUAGCUAGUUGGUGGGGUAACGGCCUACCAAGGCGAUGAUCAGUAGCCGGUCUGAGAGGAUGAACGGCCACAUUGGGACUUAGACACGGCCCAGACUCCUACGGGAGGCAGCAGUGGGGAAUCUUCCGCAAUGGGCGAAAGCCUGACGGAGCAAUGCCGCGUGAGUGAUGAAGGAAUUCGUUCCGUAAAGCCCUUUUGUUUAUGACGAAUGUGCAAGUUGUGAAUAAUGACUUGUAAUGACGGUAGUAAACGAAUAAGCCACGGCUAACUACGUGCCAGCCGCCGCAGUAA